GUGGGGAAUAUUGGACAAUGGGCGCAAGCCUGAUCCAGCCAUGCCGCGUGAGUGAUGAAGGCCUUAGGGUUGUAAAGCUCUUUCACCGAUGAAGAUAAUGACGGUAGUCGGAGAAGAAGCCCCGGCUAACUUCGUGCCAGCAGCCGCGGUAAUACGAAGGGGGCUAGCGUUGUUCGGAUUUACUGGGCGUAAAGCGCACGUAGGCGGUUUGUUAAGUCAGGGGUGAAAUCCCGGAGCUCAACUCCGGAACUGCCUUUGAUACUGGCAAGCUAGAGUCCGGAAGAGGUAAGUGGAACUCCUAGUGUAGAGGUGGAAUUCGUAGAUAUUAGGAAGAACACCAGUGGCGAAGGCGGCUCACUGGUCUGGUACUGACGCUGAGGUGCGAAAGCGUGGGGAGCAAACAGGAUUAGAAACCCCGGUAGUCC
RNAcentral lists this ribosomal RNA (425 nucleotides) under uncultured bacterium. RNAcentral describes it as "partial 16S ribosomal RNA". It matches the Rfam family "Bacterial small subunit ribosomal RNA", at positions 354 to 796 of the family's 1533-position model. The record is from RNAcentral.